RNAcentral lists this long non-coding RNA (3049 nucleotides) under Brassica napus (rape). RNAcentral describes it as "long non-coding RNA (BNAP_LNC018956)". The record is from RNAcentral. Lineage: Eukaryota; Viridiplantae; Streptophyta; Magnoliopsida; Brassicales; Brassicaceae.
UAAAAUUCCAAUAAAAGGAAGCUAUUGUGCUCCAACUAUAUGUUUGGAUAAGUGUAAGAAGCAACAUGGAACUGUUGGUAGUUGUGCGGAAGAAAAAGGAUUUUGUAACUGCGCUUGUAAGUAAGGGUUCUCACUAAGUGUUAUGAAUCUAGUAAUGUCCAACCAAAGUUUUAUAUUAUUUCUUUUAACAAUAAGUCUAAAUGUUUGUUUUUGAUUUGUGGAUCUAUUUAUAAUAAAUAAUAAUAUGAAUGUUAAAUAAAUACAAAUGUGUAAAACAAGAGUGGACUAUUAAUAAAAUAUAUGAUCACAUUAUUGUUAGAAGUAACCAAUAUUACGUGUAAAAUCAAAAGCUUAAGAAGAGUUAAAAAGAUAGAGAUGAAAUCACAACCAAUAUUUAAAUGUGAGAUAAUCAACUAACACGUAAUUUUGUACACAUUGUAAAAAAAAAGCAAGAGUUGAUUAUCAAACAAAAAAGUGUUAGAAAGAGCAACAGAUCAUGCAAGGGCAGUCUAGGUUUGAAUUGGCUUGACAGAUGGGAUGCAGACAUGCCAUAGGAAAGUCCUACAAACUCAUCAGACAAUGCAAAGAAAAUUGAUAGCAUUGUUUCUGAACAUGACAAAGCUCUGGUCAUGAAGAAAAAUUUCAGAACCAGAGUUUUUGGUAGACCUCCUCCAAUGUCAUCAUCAGCUAUGAGUUUUGAGACUUCAUCCACAUCUCAGUCUCCAUUUCCAUUCUCAUGAAGUUUCCUUUAGAGAAGAGGUUAUUACAGAAAGCCAAGUUACAUGAACAUAACACAAUCUAUCAAAGGUAAGAAGAGACGAUCAACCAGUAUUCUUCAUCUUCUUGUUCCAAAAUCACUGUUUGAAAAGAAACAGUCAAUGUCUUACAACAAAGAUGUGAAUGUAAAGUGUUGUGCAUGUUCGGAUCCAUCUUGCAUCCAGUGGAGUGAUAUAUAUCCACAUGCUCAAGUAACAAGGAGAAAUAUGUGGGCAAAGAAGCAAAAGUAAACAUUGUUUCAUUAAAUCAUUAAAGCAUUUCAACACCUUGAGGGUUCUAAAACACACACAAAAUACUGAUUUAUAGAUAUAUAAGCAACUUCUAUGUAUGUUCUUUUACAUACGAGUUAGUAUGAAAACAGCUGCAAUGUUGUUGUUUGACCACAUUUAUUAGUUAAUAGUUAACUUCUGAUGCUUUUAAGAUAAUAUGUUCUUCCCAACUCUUGUCAAUAUGAAACCAAGAGCAAAGUUUCAUCUUUAGACAUGAAAGACCUAUUAAAUGACCAAAUAACAUAGUUUAGACGAAAGCUUCCUAAUAAAAUUUAUUCUCAUUAUCUAAAUCUAAAACUGAAUUCAAUUCAUCUAUCUAAUUAUUAUAUAGUUUUCAUUUUUUUGUUAUUUUAUUGAAUUAAGUAAAAAAAUUAAUUAUAAACGUACUAAUUUUUUAAUAUAAUCUUAUAAAUUAUGUUACAUGUAGGACAUCCACCUAAUAAACUAUUAAUUUAAAUAGUAAUGUUUGAAAAGUAUUUUAUUGACAUUAUUUUAAAUAAAUUCAUAAUUCUAAAAAUAGCAAUAACUUUUUGAGAACAUCAGAUUUAUGUACACACAUAGGACACAUACCUUUUUAUUUACUUAAAGGAAAAUGAACGAGUCUAAAGCUUCCACAUGUUAUAUGAGCAAAACAUGGAUUUUUCUAAAUUAGAUUCGUUUAAAUCAGAACAUAUUAAUGUGAGUUUCUUAAAUUAGAUUUUUAAUAUGUAUAUAUACGUAAGAAUACUUCUUAUGUUUAAAAAAAAAAAAUAGAAUACUUUAUCUCUUUCCUAAAUUUUUAAGCCAAUAUCAAUCCAUUUCUAUAAUCCAAGAUGAAGAAAUCCCUUCAACUCUCGUUUACGUUCUUAAUUAUCUCCAUCAUUCUCUCACAAGGUUUGUAUUUACAUCUUAAUAUAUUGCAUAUAGUAAUUCCAUAAUAAAUUGAUUAUACUAAAAUUUGACUUUUAAAAUAUUGUAAACCCUCAUAUAAUAAAUUUUAUUUACUAUAUAAAACAUAGCAUUAAAUUAUCUCUUUGUGUAAAAUUCAUAAAUUUGCAGAAGGCUAGAAAAUAUAGAGAGUAUGGUCAGAAAUGUUUGCAUUAAAAUUGAAAGGAUCAACCAUGAAGUAUUUAACUGUUUUUUAUACUUUAUGCCAUUUAUAAUUUUUCAAAUGUAUGAGUUUAUAUAUGAUGAAGAACUAUUAUGAUAAAAUAAUAUUAAAAAAUUUCAUUUUUAUCAUCUAUUUAUGAACAUUUUGUCCUGUACAUACAAAUGAUUUGACCAACAUUUUUCAUAAUAUGGAUGAACUAUAGUUCUUACGUAAAUUUAUUUGAUAUUUUUAAUUAAAUUUAUAUAUUUUUAUAGGUAAUAUGUUAUGCUUUUCCAAUACAUACAGUAGUUGUUUUUAAAAUAUCAAAAUUUUAUACGUAAUGUUUAUUAAUAUGCACACAAUUCUUAAAACCAUAUUUUUCACAAAAUAAAAAAUAAUGGGUGACAAAACGAUAUGCUCAUUUUUUUUAUUUACUGCCAAAAUAUAUUUCUUUUUUUUACUUAUAACGUUUAAAAUGAAAUGUUAUUAAACAUUUUUUGCUGAUAAAUAAAUUUUCUAUUUCAUAAAAUCUAUAUAUAUUUUCUAACAAUUAAAAUUUAAAAUUUUAAUAUCUUACAGGAAUGAUGGCAGAUGCGCAGAAAAAGAAUUGUCCUCAUAAAAUUCCAAUAAAAGGAAGCUAUUGUGCUCCAACUAUAUGUUUGGAUAAGUGUAAGAAGCAACAUGGAACUGUUGGUAGUUGUGCGGAAGAAAAAGGAUUUUGUAACUGCGCUUGUAAAUAAGGGUUCUCACUAAGUGUUAUGAAUCUAGUAAUGUCCAACCAAAAUUUUAUAUUAUUUCUUUUAACAAUAAGUCUAAAUGUUUGUUUUUGAUUUGUGGAUCUAUUUAUAAUAAAUAAUAAUAUGAAUGUUAAAUAAAUACAAAUGUGUAAAACAAGAGUGGACUAUUAAUAAAAUAUAUGAUCACAUUAUUGUUA